UUCGCCCUUAGAGUUUGAUCCUGGCUCAGGAUGAACGCUGGCGGCAUGCCUAAUACAUGCAAGUCGAACGAAGUCUUUAGGAAGCUUGCUUCCAAAGAGACUUAGUGGCGAACGGGUGAGUAACACGUAGGUAACCUGCCCAUGUGCCCGGGAUAACUGCUGGAAACGGUAGCUAAAACCGGAUAGGUAUGAGGGGAGGCAUCUUCCUCAUAUUAAAGCACCUUCGGGUGUGAAACAUGGAUGGACCUGCGGCGCAUUAGCUGGUUGGUGAGGUAACGGCCCACCAAGGCGAUGAUGCGUAGCCGACCUGAGAGGGUGAACGGCCACAUUGGGACUGAGACACGGCCCAAACUCCUACGGGAGGCAGCAGUAGGGAAUUUUCGUCAAUGGGGGGAACCCUGAACGAGCAAUGCCGCGUGUGUGAAGAAGGUCUUCGGAUCGUAAAGCACUGUUGUAAGUGAAGAAUGCCACAUAGAGGAAAUGCUAUGUGGGUGACGGUAGCUUACCAGAAAGCCACGGCUAACUACGUGCCAGCAGCCGCGGUAAUACGUAGGUGGCAAGCGUUAUCCGGAAUCAUUGGGCGUAAAGGGUGCGUAGGUGGCACGAUAAGUCUGAAGUAAAAGGCAACAGCUCAACUGUUGUAUGCUUUGGAAACUGUCGAGCUAGAGUGCAGAAGAGGGCGAUGGAAUUCCAUGUGUAGCGGUAAAAUGCGUAGAUAUAUGGAGGAACACCAGUGGCGAAGGCGGUCGCCUGGUCUGUAACUGACACUGAUGCGCGAAAGCGUGGGGAGCAAAUAGGAUUAGAUACCCUAGUAGUCCACGCCC
Molecule: ribosomal RNA, 824 nt
Filed under: uncultured bacterium
Lineage: Bacteria
Description: bacterial SSU rRNA
Rfam family: Bacterial small subunit ribosomal RNA
Source: RNAcentral